This is a non-coding RNA of Nicotiana tabacum (common tobacco), 857 nucleotides long. NCBI's taxonomy places the organism in Eukaryota, Viridiplantae, Streptophyta, Magnoliopsida, Solanales, Solanaceae. The record is from RefSeq and is a predicted model, not a curated record.
GUGGCGUCACCCUGGAAACCACAUUCCACAUCAUGAACUAGGAUACAACGUACAAUGCCAUAAUAGGUCGACCCUGGAUACACGCCAUGAAGGCCAUCCCUUCAAACUUGUACCAAGUUAUCAAAUUCCCUACCCCAUAGGGGUGUUCAGCAUACGAGGAGAGCAACGCACAUCCCGAGAAUGCUAUCGCAUCGCCCAAGAUUGCACGUAUACCCAACAAAUGGUGGGUAAAACAAAAGAUGCAUAACAAUUAACAUGGUCGAGAUCGAGCUGUGACGAAAGAGCGGACAUCAUCAGAGAUCCCGAAAUAAUAGAGGCCACGGGAUCAACCGUAGAGGACCUCAACCCCGUCCAAAUUGAUGAUAACGACCACAACAAGAAAGCCUACAUCGGCUGCAAGCUUCAGGAAUCAGGUAUGAGAUCCGAAGCCAGGUUACCGAGCUCAAAUUUCUGGGACCGAUCAAAUACCGAACUCGAAGUCAUUACCGAGUUCGAAUCCAAAUCGAACUAUGAUGCGAAAUGACGUCAUCGAGCUUGAGAGUCAGAGACCGACCAAUACCGAGCCCAAGUCAAUACCGGACCCCGAGUCAAUAUCGGGCUCUAAAUCUGGAAACAAACCAAUACCAAUUCUGAUCAAGAUCGAGCCAAGUCCGAUCAAGAUCGAGUCAAGGGACAAGAGUUAUAGUCUCACUAAGGAGAGAGAAUCUCGGCGGGAAUUAGGGAAAAACUAUUCUACCAUGGGAUCCCCACUAUGUAUUUUUAAUUAUAUCUAAAAUAGGAUUCCUCCACUAUAAGAGAGAUAACUACUAUUUCUGUAAAGGAUUGAACAUUAAGACAUGCAUACACUCUCAUAUUCA